CUUCCCCUCCUUCUACACGCCAUCCUUUUCCUCUGCUGCAGCUGGUGCAUGAAACCAGCAGCUUGUCAUCAUCACCACGUCCUACUACCCCAUCUCCAGAAGCAACCCUCGCUUCUCUGCAACCUCUUCUCCUUUCCCUUCUUUUUUUUUUUCUUCCGCCUCUCAUCAGACUCAUUCCCUGCCCUCUUCCUACCCGUUUCUUCUUCUGUUUUUUUUCCUGACACACGAAAACUCCAGCUCAAAAAAACGGACUAGGGACUCCCUUAGCGAAGCCGGGUUUCCCUCAGCUCGGGAACUUCCUCCGAGCUCACGGACGCCCCCCCUCAACUCUCUCUCCCUCACAGACCGGCCCACAGCUCGCUCCCGUGCCUCACCUCAGCUAACAUCCAUCAGCUCGUUCUCUCCACCGCCCUCAGCUCCUCCUCAACUCCCUCAACUCGCGCCUCACGCCCCUCAGCUCACACACGAGCCUUGCCUUCAGCUCACCUCCUAGCUAAAACGACGUCCUCUCAGCUUGCCCUCCUGCCUUCUCCUUGCCCGCAAAGACAUCACCAACUACCUCUCUCGACUCUCCAAGAAGGGGCACAACAGCAGCAACAUUCCUGACCCGAGUCUCCAAGCUAAGCCUUCGGCCUUUACGUUAUUUCCUUGCUCUCACUUUCGGUUUUCUCUCGUUUUCUGCCCUAUUGUUACUUCUCCGUGAUUUGCUUCACAUGGCCUUGCUCUCUUGCAGCUCUUUCUUCUCCAUGGUAGCCCCACCAACCGUUAGGGAAUCCUGGACAAUCCAUUUCAGCAUUGGGUUCGAGGGAUUAUUGAAGUCUCACGAGCUCCUCUCGAUACUAACCCGAGAAAGUGAGCAGGAGUGGAAUAAUGAUCAAAUGCAAACCAACCGGGUCCAUGUGCUGUAAUUUGUAUAUUUUACUUUAUCUCAAGUGAACAGUGCAAGGAUUUAUCUGUAUAUUCAUUUGUAAGGAUCCCGGUUGGCAAGCGAAUGAUUUCAAGUGACAGAAACGGUCGAAUCGAGUUAUGGACCCUUUAGAUAA
This is a non-coding RNA of Punica granatum (pomegranate), 1043 nucleotides long. The record is from RefSeq and is a predicted model, not a curated record. Lineage: Eukaryota; Viridiplantae; Streptophyta; Magnoliopsida; Myrtales; Lythraceae.